UCAUGACUUCUCUUGACUGCUUAGAGUAAAAUGUGGGAAGAGAGAAGCAAAUUAAAUAUAGAAUUUAUACUCAAAAGGGAAGCAGAACUCAAAGAGUUGGAGAAUUCUCAGCCUGUAACACCUGAAAAAAUGUGUUCAGGAGACAGCAUCUACAAUGUGGCUAAGCGACUGUUUGAUCAGAUUAGUAGGGACAGAAAGAAGCCAGAUGCUUUCCAUCAGGACACUGGAAGAACGGCCCUAAAGGUAUUUUGGAGAUCUUCAGGGCUGCCACAUCCAUCACAGGCCCAGAGUGCCAGGGCCUUGAGGGUGGUAGAACUGUUUCAAGGGAGGGGCUCAGUGUGCCUGUGGGACCUUGGGCUUGCUGCCCAGAGCCACCUCCAAUUUUUGCUUCAUACUUCUGGUGCAGUGCUCUUUAGCCACCCCAGCUGAGGCUCAAGUGUGGCUCAAGAGGGCCCUGGUACAGCUUGGGCUGCCACUUCAGAGGGCACAGGCUGUCAACCUUGGUAGCGAACCUCAGAGGCCCAACCCCUGACUCGUUGUGUCCAGAAGGCAGGACAUGGAGUCAAAAAAUAUUCUUCUCAAGCUUCAAGAUGUAACACUGUUUGCCUUGCUGGGUUUUGGACUUACUUGGGAUCUGUUACUCCUUUCUUUUUUCCAGUUGCUCCCUUUUGGAAUGGGAACAUCUAUCCUAUGCCUGUCCCACCAUUGUAUUUUGGAAGCACGUAACUUGUUCAGUUUCACAGGCUCACAGGUAGAGGGCAGUUUGCCUCAGGAUGAAUCACACCUUUGAGUCUCACCCAUAUCUGAUUUAGAUGAUAUUUAGAUGAGACUUAGGACUUUAGACUUUUGAGUUGAUGCUGGAACGAGUUAAGAAUUUUGGGGCUAUUGGGAUGGAAUGGAUGUAUUUUGCAUGUGAGAAGAACAUGAAUUUUGAGGGGUCAGGGGUAGAAUGUUAAGGUUUGAAUGUCUGUGUUCCCCUAAAAUUUGUGUGUUGAAACUUAAGACCCAAUGUGAUAGGGUUAAGAGGUGGGGCCUUUAGAAGGUGGUAAGUCAUGAGAGCUCCACCCUCAUGAAUGGGAUUAGUGUCCUUUUAAAAGGACUUGAGGGAAGCAUCUGGGCCCCUUUUGCCUUUUGUCCUUCUGCUAUGUGAGGAUGAAGCAGCAAGCCACCCUCUUGCAAGCAGAGUUGAUCAGCUCUUACCAGACACCAGAUCUGACGCUAUGAUAUUGGACUUCCCAGCCUCCAGAGAUGUGAGGAAUACAUCUCUGUCCUUAUAAAUUACCCAGUCCCAAGUACUUUAUUGUUGCAGCAUGAAUGAACCAAGACAAGUCCACUUUCUAUCUCCAGCCCAGUCAUUGCUCCUGAGCUUCAGAACCACAUAUCCAACUACCUACAAGAUACCUUCUUGAGGAUGUGCCAGACAGUGGAAACAUUCAAAGCAGAACUUCUCAUCAUCUCCAUGCUUGCUGUCCCAUGUUCCUCUUCCCUGUGACUGGCACCAUUGCCCAACCAGUUAUGCAAGGGAGAAACGUCGACUCCUCCUUUUCCACUGCCCCCGCCAAAGACCCAACCAAUCUUCAAGUCCUGUACAUUCUAACCCCUAUGUAGGUCUUAAGUUCCCAGUUGCUUUUCACUUCCACUGUUCCUGCCCUGUCCAGGGCCCCCCAGAUUUUCUACUGGAUGGGCCUCUCCCUGGGUUAUCUGCCUCUAAGUGUGCCUUCUCCCACUAUUUUUCACAUGGUGACUUAGGAACAGUUUCAGUCUGACCUUGUCACUCUUCUCCAUUCAGGCCUUGAGUGGUGUCCUAUUGCUUCUGUUUGGACAAAAUCCACAUCUUAGCCUGGCUCCUCUUCUGUCUCUAGGUAUUUAUCCUCCAGGAUAAUCAAAUAGCUACUCCACUAGCCUGGCUCAGCACCAGAGCUAGGCAGAAAAUUCAAAUGAUUGUAGCACAGUUUACCAAGUUUCUGUUAUUGAGCUAAAAUAAAAAGGGUCAGCUUGUCCAGUUGGAUUCAUAAGAA
Molecule: long non-coding RNA, 2018 nt
Filed under: Homo sapiens (human)
Lineage: Eukaryota; Metazoa; Chordata; Mammalia; Primates; Hominidae
Description: non-protein coding lnc-RPS24-13:1
Source: RNAcentral